UGGGGAAUAUUGCACAAUGGGCGCAAGCCUGAUGCAGCCAUGCCGCGUGUGUGAAGAAGGCCUUCGGGUUGUAAAGCACUUUCAGCGGGGAGGAAGGCGAUAAGGUUAAUAACCUCAUCGAUUGACGUUACCCGCAGAAGAAGCACCGGCUAACUCCGUGCCAGCAGCCGCGGUAAUACGGAGGGUGCAAGCGUUAAUCGGAAUUACUGGGCGUAAAGCGCACGCAGGCGGUCUGUCAAGUCGGAUGUGGAAUCCCCGGGCUCAACCUGCGGACUGCGUUCGAUACUGGCAGUCUAGCGUCUUGUAGGGGGUGGUAGACUUCCUGGUGUGGCUGUGAGUUGCGUCGUGAUCUGGCGGAAUACCGGUGGCGAGGGCGGCCCCCUUGCCAACGACUGACGCUCAGGUGCGAAAGCGUGGGGAGCAAACAGG
This 429-nucleotide ribosomal RNA is filed under the name Chloroflexota bacterium. RNAcentral describes it as "Chloroflexi bacterium partial 16S ribosomal RNA". It matches the Rfam family "Bacterial small subunit ribosomal RNA", at positions 355 to 776 of the family's 1533-position model. Lineage: Bacteria; Bacillati; Chloroflexota. The record is from RNAcentral.